Molecule: ribosomal RNA, 301 nt
Filed under: uncultured bacterium
Lineage: Bacteria
Description: partial 16S ribosomal RNA
Rfam family: Bacterial small subunit ribosomal RNA
Source: RNAcentral
CAGCAGCCGCGGUAAUACGUAGGUGGCAAGCGUUGUCCGGAAUUAUUGGGCGUAAAGGGCUCGCAGGCGGUUUCUUAAGUCUGAUGUGAAAGCCCCCGGCUCAACCGGGGAGGGUCAUUGGAAACUGGGAAACUUGAGUGCAGAAGAGAAGAGUGGAAUUCCACGUGUAGCGGUGAAAUGCGUAGAGAUGUGGAGGAACACCAGUGGCGAAGGCGACUCUCUGGUCUGUAACUGACGCUGAGGAGCGAAAGCGUGGGGAGCGAACAGGAUUAGAUACCCGAGUAGUCCCUGUCUCUUAUAC